Anguilla anguilla (European eel) is the source of this 594-nucleotide long non-coding RNA. RefSeq lists it as uncharacterized. The record is from RefSeq and is a predicted model, not a curated record. NCBI's taxonomy places the organism in Eukaryota, Metazoa, Chordata, Actinopteri, Anguilliformes, Anguillidae. The transcript has 3 exons.
AGAAACAUACAACGAUCGGUUAUACUCCAAGAAGCUCCACCCAUUUUUGAUGUGAUGAAGCCUCCUUCUCUCACUGCUAAUUUGCAUUGAAGACCAUGAAAGGCCACCCAGCAAAGGGCACUGUCUCCCAGGAAACGGUGCCAUUGCAUAGGGAAAAGAUUCGCUACCCUGGCAGCCAAUCAGAAGCAGCAGUGGGACCAGUGGCUAGGUUUUUGCCCAUGUCCAGGAAGAAGGGAGGGAGACAAACACAAGCAGGUGCCUGGCUACGGACGAUCUGUUGCGGACUAAUCCCCUCUAACAAGUUUGCUUGGAAGCAAGGCGGAUCUGGCUGUGAAGAUUAACUCGUCUCACUUGAGGAGACAGGCUUUGGCAGUGCCUGGAAAAGUGGUAACUGCGCCCAUUCGGUUGUCGCCGCGGAGACCACUGAAAACGGUGGCGCCAUGGUGUGCCGAACACCUGCUAAGCCUGUGGCGAGGCUCACGUGCCAGUGGCUCCGGGAUCCCUGGGGAUAGGCUGUGUUUGUGUGUGCUGCUCUGGAGCUCAGCGGACUGGUAUUCAGCGGGGUCGUCAUUGUGUCAACCACAAGGGCACGCA